GUCACUGGUUGAGUAUUGGAACAGACAUGCUGGUUAAGAUUCAGGUCACUGGUUGAGUAUUGGAACAGACAUGCUGGUUAAGAUUCAGGUCACUGGUUGAGUAUUGCAACAGACAUGCUGGUUAAGAUUCAGGUCACUGGUUGAGUAUUGGAACAGACAUGCUGGUUAAGAUUCAGGUCACUGGUUGAGGUAAAUGCAGGUGUAUUGUGUUGUUAGCCUUGAAAAGUGUAAUGUCAUAAAAAGCAAUGCAACAUGUCUAGAAAACAGUCAGACACAAAGAUGAGCCAGAGGAGGUUGUUUGGUGAAGACUUAACAAGGCUUGUGGAACGAGUCAGAAGAAAGUGGAUGUGUUGUUGGUCACUAGGGUCAGGGUUCUUUGACCAGCAGGUUUACCUAACAGAUAGAUAUACAACAUACUAGAGCAUGUGAAACACCAAAGUCAUACCACCUAUAUAGAGAUGUAAACAUUUCCUGGACUGGACACUUGGUUGUGGAGCCAGUGUACUGCCACUGGUUACAGCUUGAUUCCCACAGGCCUGGAUUCACUCCAAUCCCACAUUAUCAUUGUUUAAAACAGCGUGAUUGGAUAAGGUGGUCUAGUUUAAAACAGCGUGAUUGGAUAAGGUGGUCUAGUUUAAAACGACGUGAUUGGAUAAGGUGGUCUAGUUUUAAACAAGCCCAUCAUGCAUGUUCUCUUGGCUCCUCCAUUUCCUAAACCUUUUAAAUAUACAACCCCGAACUCGCGGGCCUAGGACUACAGACUCAGAGUGUUACAUCAUAGACCCUCCCAACUGAGUGUCACGAAAUAAACAGUCCACAAUGUCUUCUGAUAUUUACACUGGAAGACAAAAGGGGAACUGCCCCUAGUUUUAUCAAAUAAUUGUCAAGCUUCUUCUUGGAAUCUUUUUGGAGAGUGGAACAACCCCAACCGUAGGCCUUCUUCUGUCAACAGUAGAUUCAUUGUACUGGGUGUUUGUUAUUAUCAUUAUAAACAAUACUGAAUGUCAAUUAUUAUCUUCUUAAUUGAUAGUACACUAAAAUAUUCUUAUAACACGUGCAGUGCAAUUUUUCAUUGGUAUAACAAUAUUAGUUCUGAACACCAGUGGCUAGCAUUUGGCACCCAGUAGGUGAUAGGACAUCUAUACCCCUAAUAACCCUGUCUUGUAGUUUACACAAGCUAUUAGCAAGUUUUUGUAUCGUGAAGUGUUUGACAUCUGAUUACUAACACCACAACUCUCUCAACACCAUCCAAAUACUCCAAAUGAGCAGUUGCUGUAGUCAUGGAAAUAAGUCAUUUUACACUUUGUUGAAUUACUACUGGCUGCCACGAAAAUGAAGAUUUUAAUGAUGCAAAAAUAAUAAACAUCAAGAAAAUGUAUUAUACUUUGUUUGAAUAUAUGCUUGUAUUUUAACAAACUCUUUCUUUUUACUGCACAUGAAAAAACUGCUCUUAAAAAUAUAUAUUUUUGAAUGAAGCAACAUGAAAGCAUAACAAACCAUAUUCUUUCCAGGUCAUUCUUUUACUAGACAUUGAUUGUAGUUGAGAGGAAUGCAUUUUUGUGGUUGAACACAGAAUUGUUGGGAUAAAUAACUAUGAAGACAUUUCCUACUUCCUGCUAUUGUCAGUGUGGUGUAACUGUUACUACUCCUAUUAACUAAUGUUUUGGCCUGUUUUGUAAUACUGUUCUUGGUUAAAUUUUUUGUAUUGUGUUUGAAGAUGCGAUUGGUGUUCAUUUGACUGGUCAUUUGACCAGUGAAACUUCUGCUGUCUGAUUUGAUCUCCGUAUACGGCUACUAACUAGCAUGACAUGCUAACUCCCGCUCGCUAACAUAGCGUCCGUCUUCAUGUGGACUGUGGUUAACAGGACUAAUGACACACACAAACACACACACACACACACCUUUAUUCACAGUUACACACACAUAUAUGCACAUGAAACACACAUUUGGUUUCAAGCAUCCCCAUAGGGUGGAGGUGUUGCUUUCUCUUGAAGGUUUUGUGGUUUUUGAACACAACAGAGGCUGUCUGUCAGUGCCUCUCGUCCAAUCCCGCUGCAGCGCACCAACUUCCUACAUUCAACUUCCUGGUCUCUGCACCCCUCCAUGACCCCUCCCCUUUCUCCUUUCUAAGCCAGCCCUCCCCAUCAGCCUCCCCCCAAAACCACGACCCAGGCAUGACUGCUUUCUGAUUGGCCUAGAGAAGACAGACAAAGCCUAUGUCAAAGCCUGUGUACUGCAUCGCCUCCCCAGCUCUUCCGGGGUCUCCCUGCUCCUCCCUCCUCCCUGCACUCCUUCCCCCAUGCAUCUGACAUAAAACACAGGCUCUUAUCAGAUGAGGCAGUCCUGGCCAGAGUGGGACUCAUGGAAGACACCGGAAGAGGAGAAACUAGUACGGGUGGUUGUGUCGGCUGAUGUUGUCUCUCUGGUCAAAAAUGAAACAGUGGUGUCUCCUCCUGACCAUAUUGUGAUUCCUGUUGCAUGUAUAGCACUUACUGAAUGAAGAUGUAUUAUAAACAUGAAUGUACAUACUACUGCUACUACUACUAAUAGUAAUAGUAAUUACACAAGUACUCCAGGGUGGACUGUAUUACUAUGUCUUUGAAACUACAAAGGGAAUGGACAUAGAUCUAUGUAAAAUGUUGUGUAUGUCACUGAGGAGGCGGGGCGGGGGCGGGGUAAUUGUAAAAUUGUAUCAGUACAUCGUGUGCAUUAAGCAGAGCAGCCCUUAUUUUAAAGAAAACAAAUAUUAUAUGGAAUUCUAGCUGUAUAUAUCUAUACUGUAUGUAUUUUUGGUUUCAAUGAAAAUGCAGAGAUAAGAAGACGUGAAUAUUUAUUGCUCUUAUAAAACUUGUUCUGGUUGUUGAAAUAGAUUGUGUGUGUUUUUAUUUUAUCCAGUUUGCAUGUUCAAUUGGGUGUAAAUGGAAUGAGCUUCUGG
Molecule: long non-coding RNA, 2935 nt
Organism: Esox lucius (northern pike)
Lineage: Eukaryota; Metazoa; Chordata; Actinopteri; Esociformes; Esocidae
Source: Ensembl